CCAGUACUCUUUGCCUUUUGGCUUAGAUCAAGUGUAGUAUCUGUUCUUUUCAGUUUAAUCUCUGAAAUCCAUCCCAAGGGGUGGAAUCUCUAAUUGUUCUACUUUUUAUAUUCUGCCGGUCAAGUCACCUAUGCUUGUCAUGGCGACUUGGCUGGCACUGUGUCCCUGGCCUUAUACUACUGUCUUGUGAUGCGAAACAAA
RNAcentral lists this small nuclear RNA (201 nucleotides) under Exophiala mesophila. Its description in RNAcentral is "U2 spliceosomal RNA". It matches the Rfam family "U2 spliceosomal RNA". From Rfam's summary of the family: U2 is a small nuclear RNA (snRNA) component of the spliceosome (involved in pre-mRNA splicing). Lineage: Eukaryota; Fungi; Ascomycota; Eurotiomycetes; Chaetothyriales; Herpotrichiellaceae. The record is from Rfam by way of RNAcentral.